UUUUAAAAAAAAAUUAAAGUUCUGAAUUAGUCUUAUUUUGUAAAUAAUAAAAAUUAAAAAAUUUGGCGGUAUUUUAUUCUAGAUAGAGGAACCUGUUCUUUAAUUGAUAUUCCACGUUCUAUUUAACUUAAAUUUAAUUUGUAUAUCGUUGUCAUAAUAAGAUUUUUUUUAAAGAAUAUUUAAAGCUCUUAAUUAUUUAUAAAUAAAUAUGUCAAAUCAAGGUGCAGUCUAUAUUUAAGGUUGAAAUGGGUUACAUUAAAUUUAUUUAAAUUGGAUUUAAGGUUUUAAUUAUUUAAUGAAAUUGGAUUUAUAAGUAAAUAUAGUUUAAUUUGCUACAUUGAAUGAGUUUUAAAAUGUGU
RNAcentral lists this ribosomal RNA (359 nucleotides) under Catotricha subobsoleta. Its description in RNAcentral is "12S ribosomal RNA". Lineage: Eukaryota; Metazoa; Arthropoda; Insecta; Diptera; Cecidomyiidae. The record is from RNAcentral.